RNAcentral lists this transfer RNA (67 nucleotides) under Onychodactylus zhangyapingi. Its description in RNAcentral is "tRNA-Phe". The record is from RNAcentral. Lineage: Eukaryota; Metazoa; Chordata; Amphibia; Caudata; Hynobiidae.
GUUAGUGUAGCUUAUAAAAAGUAUGGCACUGAAAAUGCCAAGAUAAAUUUUAAGGAUUUCACAAACA